GAUGAACGCUGGCGGCGUGCCUAAUACAUGCAAGUCGAGCGAACAGACGAGGAGCUUGCUCCUCUGACGUUAGCGGCGGACGGGUGAGUAACACGUGGAUAACCUACCUAUAAGACUGGGAUAACUUCGGGAAACCGGAGCUAAUACCGGAUAAUAUAUUGAACCGCAUGGUUCAAUAGUGAAAGACGGUUUUGCUGUCACUUAUAGAUGGAUCCGCGCCGCAUUAGCUAGUUGGUAAGGUAACGGCUUACCAAGGCAACGAUGCGUAGCCGACCUGAGAGGGUGAUCGGCCACACUGGAACUGAGACACGGUCCAGACUCCUACGGGAGGCAGCAGUAGGGAAUCUUCCGCAAUGGGCGAGAGCCUGACGGAGCAACGCCGCGUGAGUGAUGAAGGUCUUCGGAUCGUAAAACUCUGUUAUUAGGGAAGAACAAAUGAGUAAGUAACUAUGCACGUCUUGACGGUACCUAAUCAGAAAGCCACGGCUAACUACGUG
RNAcentral lists this ribosomal RNA (497 nucleotides) under uncultured bacterium. RNAcentral's name for it is "partial 16S ribosomal RNA". It matches the Rfam family "Bacterial small subunit ribosomal RNA", at positions 28 to 507 of the family's 1533-position model. The record is from RNAcentral.